This 674-nucleotide ribosomal RNA is filed under the name uncultured Enterobacterales bacterium. RNAcentral describes it as "bacterial SSU rRNA". It matches the Rfam family "Bacterial small subunit ribosomal RNA", at positions 59 to 724 of the family's 1533-position model. Lineage: Bacteria; Pseudomonadati; Pseudomonadota; Gammaproteobacteria; Enterobacterales. The record is from RNAcentral.
AAGUCGAACGGUAGCACAGAGAGCUUGCUCUCGGGUGACGAGUGGCGGACGGGUGAGUAAUGUCUGGGAAACUGCCUGAUGGAGGGGGAUAACUACUGGAAACGGUAGCUAAUACCGCAUAACGUCGCAAGGCCAAAGAGGGGGACCUUCGGGCCUCUUGCCAUCAGAUGUGCCCAGAUGGGAUUAGCUAGUAGGUGGGGUAACGGCUCACCUAGGCGACGAUCCCUAGCUGGUCUGAGAGGAUGACCAGCCACACUGGAACUGAGACACGGUCCAGACUCCUACGGGAGGCAGCAGUGGGGAAUAUUGCACAAUGGGCGCAAGCCUGAUGCAGCCAUGCCGCGUGUAUGAAGAAGGCCUUCGGGUUGUAAAGUACUUUCAGCGGGGAGGAAGGUGUUGCGGUUAAUAACCGCAGCAAUUGACGUUACCCGCAGAAGAAGCACCGGCUAACUCCGUGCCAGCAGCCGCGGUAAUACGGAGGGUGCAAGCGUUAAUCGGAAUUACUGGGCGUAAAGCGCACGCAGGCGGUCUGUCAAGUCGGAUGUGAAAUCCCCGGGCUCAACCUGGGAACUGCAUUCGAAACUGGCAGGCUAGAGUCUUGUAGAGGGGGGUAGAAUUCCAGGUGUAGCGGUGAAAUGCGUAGAGAUCUGGAGGAAUACCGGUGGCGAAGGCGG